AGCAGCCGCGGUAAUUCCAGCUCCAAUAGCGUAUAUUAAAGUUGUUGCAGUUAAAAAGCUCGUAGUUGAAUUUCGGGAUUGGCGCAUCGGUCGUGCCUCACGGGGUAUGAACUGGUGCAGUCAAUUUCUCACCUUCUGGAGAACCGCGAUGUCCUUAAUUGGAUGCCGCGGGGAACCAGGACCUUUACUUUGAAAAAUUGGAGUGUUUAAAGCAGGCAUUUUUGCUUGAAUACAUUAGCAUGGAAUAAUAAAAUAGGACGGCAUGGUUCUAUUUUGUUGGUUUCUAGGACCACCGUAAUGAUUAAUAGGGAUAGUUGGGGGCAUUAGUAUUCAAUUGUCAGAGGUGAAAUUCUUGGAUUUAUUGAAGACUAACUACUGCGAAAGCAUUUGCCAAGGAUGUUUUCAUUAAUCAAGAACGAAAGUUAGGGGAUCGAAGACGAUCAGAUACCGUCGUAGUCUUAACCAUAAACUAUGCCGACUAGGAAUCAGACGAUGUUAAUUUUUAAUGUACUCGUUUGGC
Molecule: unclassified non-coding RNA, 520 nt
Filed under: uncultured Entrophospora
Lineage: Eukaryota; Fungi; Glomeromycota; Glomeromycetes; Entrophosporales; Entrophosporaceae
Description: SSU rRNA
Rfam family: Eukaryotic small subunit ribosomal RNA
Source: RNAcentral